RNAcentral lists this long non-coding RNA (385 nucleotides) under Phascolarctos cinereus (koala). RNAcentral describes it as "lncRNA (ENSPCIG00000004826.2)". Lineage: Eukaryota; Metazoa; Chordata; Mammalia; Diprotodontia; Phascolarctidae. The record is from RNAcentral.
AUGCAGUUAUCAAGUGGAAUAGGAAUGGGAAUCCAGGUCUGUCUGACAACAAAUCCCUUUUCUACUAGAUCACCCUGUCUUUGUUGUCUUUAUAGCUUGUGUUGCUCCAGAGCCCACACCCUGGGAGUACCAAUAUUAGUGAAGGAAGAGAUGAUGAGGACAACAAUCCCAUCCUUUGUUGGGGAUAAUAACAGAGGGGGCAGAUUAAUUACUGGCUGGCUAUUCCUGUUCCAAAUAUGUGGAGUGCUAAAAAUGCAUGACUGAUCCUUCAUCCUCAGCAGGUUUGUCUCAGACCCUUGGAAUCUUGAAACAUGUCUCCGUGUGUCUGUGUUUGCCCACCACCUCCUCCUCCUCCUCCUCUCCUCCUCUUGGGGCUUCGUGGGUA